GUCCAGACUCCUACGGGAGGCAGCAGUGGGGAAUAUUGCACAAUGGGCGAAAGCCUGAUGCAGCUAUACCGCGUGUAUGAAGAAGGCCUUAGGGUUGUAAAGUACUUUCGUUGGGGAGGAAAAAUAAAUAGAUAAUACCUGUUUAUCGUGACGUUACCCAAAAAAGAAGCACCGGCUAACUCCGUGCCAGCAGCCGCGGUAAUACGGAGGGUGCAAGCGUUAAUCAGAAUUACUGGGCGUAAAGAGCUCGUAGGCGGUUUUUUAAGUCAGAUGUGAAAUCCCUGGGCUUAACCUAGGAACUGUAUUUGAAACUAAAAGACUAGAGUAUCGUAGAGGGAGGUAGAAUUCUAGGUGUAGCGGUGAAAUGCGUAGAUAUCUGGAGGAAUACCUGUGGCGAAAGCGGCCUCCUAAAUGAAUACUGACGCUGAGGUGCGAAAGCAUGGGGAGCAAACAGGAUUAGAUACCCUGGUAGUCCAUGCCGUAAACGAUGUCGACUUGGAGGUUGUUUCUUUGAGAAGUGACUUCCGAAGCUAACGCGUUAAGUCGACCGCCUGGGGAGUACGGUCGCAAGGCUAAAACUCAAAUGAAUUGACGGGGGCCCGCACAAGCGGUGGAGCAUGUGGUUUAAUUCGAUGCAACGCGAAAAACCUUACCUGGUCUUGACAUCCACAGAAUUUUUCAGAGAUGAAAAAGUGCCUUAGGGAACUGUGAGACAGGUGCUGCAUGGCUGUCGUCAGCUCGUGUUGUGAAAUGUUGGGUUAAGUCCCGCAACGAGCGCAACCCUUAUCCUCUGUUGCCAUUGGUUCGGCCAGGAACUCAGAGGAGACUGCCGGUUAUAAACCGGAGGAAGGCGGGGACGACGUCAAGUCAUCAUGGCCCUUACGACCAGGGCUACACACGUGCUACAAUGGUGUAUACAAAGAGAAGCAACUCUGCAAAGACAAGCAAACCUCAUAAAGUACAUCGUAGUCCGGACUGGAGUCUGCAACUCGAUCCC
This 997-nucleotide ribosomal RNA is filed under the name Buchnera aphidicola (Prociphilus erigeronensis). RNAcentral describes it as "bacterial SSU rRNA". It matches the Rfam family "Bacterial small subunit ribosomal RNA", at positions 329 to 1319 of the family's 1533-position model. Lineage: Bacteria; Pseudomonadati; Pseudomonadota; Gammaproteobacteria; Enterobacterales; Erwiniaceae. The record is from RNAcentral.